RNAcentral lists this ribosomal RNA (283 nucleotides) under uncultured prokaryote. RNAcentral describes it as "partial 16S ribosomal RNA". It matches the Rfam family "Bacterial small subunit ribosomal RNA", at positions 524 to 805 of the family's 1533-position model. The record is from RNAcentral.
UACGUAGGGGGCUAGCGUUAUCCGGAAUUACUGGGCGUAAAGGGUGCGUAGGCGGUCUUUCAAGUCAGGAGUGAAAGGCUACGGCUCAACCGUAGUAAGCUCUUGAAACUGUAAGACUUGAGUGCAGGAGAGGAGAGCGGAAUUCCUAGUGUAGCGGUGAAAUGCGUAGAUAUUAGGAAGAACACCGGUGGCGAAGGCGGCUUACUGGCCAGUUACUGACGCCCAUGCGCGAAAGCUGGGGUAGCGAACCGGAUUAGAUACCCCCGUAGUCCCUGAGCGGGCU